AUUGAACGCUGGCGGCAUGCCUUACACAUGCAAGUCGAACGGCAGCACGGGGCAACCUGGUGGCGAGUGGCGAACGGGUGAGUAAUGCAUCGGAACGUGCCAUUGAGUGGGGGAUAACGUAGCGAAAGUUGCGCUAAUACCGCAUAUUCUGUGAGCAGGAAAGCAGGGGACCGCAAGGCCUUGCGCUCUUUGAGCGGCCGAUGUCAGAUUAGCUAGUUGGUGAGGUAACGGCUUACCAAGGCGACGAUCUGUAGCGGGUCUGAGAGGAUGAUCCGCCACACUGGAACUGAGACACGGUCCAGACUCCUAGG
This 311-nucleotide ribosomal RNA is filed under the name uncultured bacterium. RNAcentral describes it as "bacterial SSU rRNA". It matches the Rfam family "Bacterial small subunit ribosomal RNA", at positions 30 to 343 of the family's 1533-position model. The record is from RNAcentral.